RNAcentral lists this non-coding RNA (27 nucleotides) under Homo sapiens (human). The record is from RNAcentral. Lineage: Eukaryota; Metazoa; Chordata; Mammalia; Primates; Hominidae.
UCCGGGUUGAGGAGAGAGGAAAUGAAC